Molecule: long non-coding RNA, 1325 nt
Filed under: Lepisosteus oculatus (spotted gar)
Lineage: Eukaryota; Metazoa; Chordata; Actinopteri; Semionotiformes; Lepisosteidae
Description: lncRNA (ENSLOCG00000021249.1)
Source: RNAcentral
GUCCAGGUUUCCUCUCCUGUAGUAAAGAUGUCAGUGUCAGGCCCUGCACGCUCUCCUUGCUGUGCACUGUACUUGUGACAUUGGCUCAUUUUAAGCGACCAAGGCUCUGUAUAUGUAUAUCUGAACAUAUCGUUUUUUGAAGUUUAUUCAUGUGUGUCAUUGACUGAUUUUCUAUCGUUUUGAAGGCCGUUUAAUUAAUAGGGACAUUUUGGCAUUUUCUCUACCAGCGGCUUCCAAGCUGGGUGUCACCUGGCUCUGGCUCUGCUGGGCUUCACCUGGUUCUGCUGGGCUUCACCUGGCACGGGCUGGUUGGGCAUCACCCAGCUCUGGCCCUGCUGGGGUUCACCUGGCAUGGGCUGGUUUGGCAGCAAGCCCAGCAGCUGCCUUCACACCGUCAAGUUCAAAGUGCCCACUAGGGAGCCCUUUCACUUUUUACCCCAGUUAGUCAUUCACCAAGAUCAUGAAAAAAUGCUUAAGUGGAAUAAGCAAAAUGUCAGCAAUUGAUUUCCAAGUGGCUCUUGUCUUUCUUCUUUCUUCAGCUCAUUUAACUUGAGCAUUAUCAAGCAUUACAUGUGGGUAGACAUCCUCUUGGUCAACUGUACCCAGCAUCUCCAUAGGGAGCCCUCUGCAGCCUGCCAUGCUUUAGAUAUCCCAGCACCAUGACUAACUUAGUGCUUAAAUGGAUUCUCUGAGUGGUGCAGGGUCUCGCACAGCCAGCCUAAUGCAUUACUAUUGUUGUUACCAUCUCAUACAGAAUGGUAGCAAUAACAAAUGCCCUGAAAGACUGCAGAGCCCAACAAGUGCAAAUACAUUUCUAUAAAUAGCCUGUGCCCUGACUGAAUUUGGGCUUUUUACUCUUGGACGGAUCAAUAAGGCCUUUUAUGAACUAAAGGAGUGACUAGAGGUGAACAAGCCGGCCAUAUAGAGCACUCAGCAAUACCGGCUGGGGGACUCAAAGCAUGUGCGAAAGAAAUUUCAAGGAAAUAAGAAAUAUCAAGAGGUUGGGCAACACAGCAGGCUUCUCACUAAUUUUUGAGUUUUUAAUCUCUAAAACUUUCUGUGCAAAUCAGGCUCGUGCCAGGUGGGACCUGAUGGUCGGUGGUCUCUUUUCCAACAGGUAUAGACACACCACAUUUUGCUGGUUCCAGUGUAGGUUCCUCCAAUGGGUGCUUGGUCUAUGGGCAUUGUGGACUUCUCAACGAGAGAACUGCUGGGUGGCUCAGACAACGUACGUUUCAGAGGACAGGGUCCGCAGGCCUCACCCACCACACCAAGACAUGGUUCCAGUUGCAGGGAAGAGAGUGAUACUACGAAUGUUAAAAUAG